CGGCGAAGCGGAAAAAUGGUGAAGGGGCGACAGGGCGAGCGCGUCCGAUUGUACGUUCGUGGAACGAUUCUCGGCUACAAGCGAUCGAAGUCGAAUCAGUACGAGAACACCUCGCUGAUGCAGAUCGAGGGGGUGAACACUAAGGAGGAGGUGGCUUGGUACUGUGGGAAGCGGCUGGCGUAUAUUUACAGGGCGAAGGUGAAGAAGAACGGCUCGCAUUACAGGUGUAUUUGGGGAAAGGUUGCGCGUCCCCAUGGGAAUAGUGGAGUCGUGAGGGCCAAGUUCAAGUCUAAUCUUCCACCCAAAGCGAUGGGAUCAAAGGUUCGGGUCUUCAUGUACCCUAGCAACAUAUGAGAUUUAUGGAAGCCUGAGAGCAGCUGGACUGAAAAUUGCUGGGUGUCUUUAUUUUCGAAAAUGAUGAUAUUUCUAGAAUCAACUCUACUUUUAAAACAGUUUUUUUG
RNAcentral lists this unclassified non-coding RNA (461 nucleotides) under Hevea brasiliensis (rubber tree). Lineage: Eukaryota; Viridiplantae; Streptophyta; Magnoliopsida; Malpighiales; Euphorbiaceae. The record is from RNAcentral.